This 585-nucleotide long non-coding RNA is filed under the name Monodelphis domestica (gray short-tailed opossum). Its description in RNAcentral is "lncRNA (ENSMODG00000040206.1)". The record is from RNAcentral. Lineage: Eukaryota; Metazoa; Chordata; Mammalia; Didelphimorphia; Didelphidae.
GUCUACUCAGGUGUGAAUUACUAAAAAGUUUAGUCUACCCAGGUGUGAAUAAAAAUGGUCAGUCCUUUGGAAGACGUCUACUGUGAUUGGUAGAUGUGAGAACUUAGGGGAGGUGACAUAGGAGAAAAUUCCCUUUAAAAGGAGGUCAAAAAGAGGUCUCUGAAGAUUCAGCUGGGAAAAGCUGAAUUGGAGGAGGCAGCUGGCCAAAGAUGCCUUGAAGGGCUUGAUGGCUGAACUUGAUUGACCUAACUGAAGCUGAACUGGUGUCUCUCUGAACACUAGAAUCUUGCUUGGGACAAAUCUUGUGCUCAACCAAGAAUCUGCAUCUUCCUUCCUCCAGUCCAGCAGCUGCCUCUCCCUGAGACCUGGCCUCCACCCUUCUCCUCACCACAAGCAAAGGAGUCAACAGGAAAAUGAAGUACAAAGAGAGGGUGCUGUCCACUUCAGUAAAGCUGGCCUUUGUGUGGCAGUUGAACCACUGAAGUCCAAAAGCAAGACAAAAAUCAGGAUGACUGGUGAUGGCCCAGAAUGAAGUGGAUGACCUUGUCAUCUUUGAUGUCUGAGCAAGCUCUAAAUUCUCUACAG